This 492-nucleotide ribosomal RNA is filed under the name uncultured bacterium. RNAcentral describes it as "partial 16S ribosomal RNA". It matches the Rfam family "Bacterial small subunit ribosomal RNA", at positions 29 to 507 of the family's 1533-position model. The record is from RNAcentral.
AGUGAACGCUGGCGGUAGGCCUAACACAUGCAAGUCGAACGGCAGCACAGUAAGAGCUUGCUCUUACGGGUGGCGAGUGGCGGACGGGUGAGGAAUACAUCGGAAUCUACUUUUUCGUGGGGGAUAACGUAGGGAAACUUACGCUAAUACCGCAUACGACCUACGGGUGAAAGCAGGGGAUCUUCGGACCUUGCGCGAUUCAAUGAGCCGAUGUCGGAUUAGCUAGUUGGCGGGGUAAAGGCCCACCAAGGCGACGAUCCGUAGCUGGUCUGAGAGGAUGAUCAGCCACACUGGAACUGAGACACGGUCCAGACUCCUACGGGAGGCAGCAGUGGGGAAUAUUGGACAAAGGGCGCAAGCCUGAUCCAGCCAUACCGCGUGGGUGAAGAAGGCCUUCGGGUUGUAAAGCCCUUUUGUUGGGAAAGAAAAGCAGCAGGUUAAUACCCCGCUGUUCUGACGGUACCCAAAGAAUAAGCACCGGCUAACUUCGUG